RNAcentral lists this ribosomal RNA (423 nucleotides) under uncultured Oscillospiraceae bacterium. Its description in RNAcentral is "bacterial SSU rRNA". It matches the Rfam family "Bacterial small subunit ribosomal RNA", at positions 355 to 794 of the family's 1533-position model. Lineage: Bacteria; Bacillati; Bacillota; Clostridia; Eubacteriales; Oscillospiraceae. The record is from RNAcentral.
UGGGGAAUAUUGCACAAUGGGGGAAACCCUGAUGCAGCGACGCCGCGUGGAGGAAGAAGGUCUUCGGAUUGUAAACUGCUUUAGACAGGGAAGAAAUAAGACAGUACCUGUAGAAUAAGCUCCGGCUAACUACGUGCCAGCAGCCGCGGUAAUACGUAGGGAGCAAGCGUUAUCCGGAUUUAUUGGGUGUAAAGGGUGCGUAGACGGAAAGGCAAGUUAGUUGUGAAAUCCCUCGGCUUAACUGAGGAACUGCAACUAAAACUAUCAUUCUUGAGUACUGGAGGGGAAAGCGGAAUUCCUAGUGUAGCGGUGAAAUGCGUAGAUAUUAGGAAGAACACCGGUGGCGAAGGCGGCUUUCUGGACAGUAACUGACGUUGAGGCACGAAAGUGUGGGGAGCAAACAGGAUUAGAUACCCUGGUAGU